This is an RNA transcript of Eubalaena glacialis (North Atlantic right whale), 5278 nucleotides long. It is a transcript of the gene named abhydrolase domain containing 11, with no coding region annotated. The record is from RefSeq and is a predicted model, not a curated record. The transcript is spliced from 7 exons. Lineage: Eukaryota; Metazoa; Chordata; Mammalia; Artiodactyla; Balaenidae.
GGUGCGCGCCGGGUAGGAGAUCCAGGAGAUGCUCCGCUGGGCCGGCGCCUGGAGGCUCCCCUGUAGGGGCCUGGGCCCCUCCAGUCCCAGCUUCUCCAGAGUGCCUGUCGCACCCAGCAGCAGCCAAGGCGGCACCGAGCCAAGGCCGGUGCCGCUUUCCUACAGACUUCUGGACGGCGAGGCAACCCGCCCGCCCCUCGUCUUUCUGCAUGGGCUCUUCGGCUGCAAAACCAACUUCAACUCCAUCGCCAAAGCCCUGGCCCAGCAGACAGGCCGGAGGGUGCUGACAGUGGAUGCUCGGAACCAUGGUGACAGCCCUCACAGCCCAGACAUGAGCUACGAGGCCAUGAGCCAGGAUCUGCAGAACCUCCUGCCCCAGCUGGGCCUAGUGCCCUGCGUCCUCAUUGGCCACAGCAUGGGAGGCAGGACAGCCAUGCUGCUGGCACUUCAGAGGCCAGAGCUGGUGGAGCGCUUGAUUGCCGUGGACAUCAGCCCAGUGGAGAGCCCGUCCAGCUUGAACUUUCCAAACUACAUAGCAGCCAUGAGGGCCAUAGACAUCCCGGAUGAGUCGUCCCUCUCUAGUGCCCGAAAACUGGCGGAUGAGAAGCUCAGCUGUGUUAUCCAGAGCAUAAGCAUGCGGCAGUUCCUGCUCACCAACCUGGUGGAGGUGGAUGGGCGCUUCAUGUGGAGGGUGAACUUGGAUGCCUUGGCCCAGCACUUGGACAAGAUCUUGAACUUCCCACCACGACCAGAAACCUACUCUGGGCCAGCCCUCUUUCUCCUGGGUGGAAACUCUCAAUUCGUGCUUCCCAGCCACCACCCUGAGAUUAGGCGGCUCUUCCCUCGGGCCCAGAUGCAGACCGUGCCUAACGCUAGCCACUGGGUCCACAGCGACUGCCCGCAGGACUUCAUGGCUGCCGUCCGAGACUUCCUGGCCUAAGGGUUGCUGGCCAGAGGGGACACGAAACCCCAGGCUUCAAGGCCCUGCGGGCUGCUCCUUGUUUCUGCACAGAAGGACUCAGGAAUGCCUGACGUCCCCCCUUCUCCUCCUGGCAGGACAGAGCCUGAGGGUGAGCCAGCCACCACCCUCCCGUCCCCCACAAGCAGCUUCCUCUCACUUGGCAAUGGCUUCAUCCCGCUCCCGGAGGACCUGGUCCAGCGAGGGGUCUGUCUGGGUAUCCCCCAGUGCUCCAGCCACUUGGGAUUCUGGGCUCUGUGGUAGGGUGACAGAGGAGGGAGUAGUGGUUUGGGGCUUGCCUGGAUAAGGUGUCCCACUUGGCCCUUCCGCCCUGGCCUUGGCCCUGAUGCUGAUGUCAGGAGGGGAAGGGUCUGAGACGUUCCGUACCUGCCCCCCAGUGCCCCGGUCUCGUGGGCAGGGGACUGCAUCAUGCUGAGGGGAUAGUAGGUGUGGCCCCUUCCCACCCAAAGGAAAGCAGAGGGGGCAGGGUGUUUGGACCCCCCCGCCCCCAAGGAGGAAAGGAAUUCUCACCUGAUCCCCAGGAAAGAGACAAGGUGGGUUCAGAAGGACACUUACCCCUCGAGGGCCCCAGAACUGAGAGGGUGGCCUGGUGACUGGGACUCUUGUCAGCGGGGUGGGGCAGGCGGAGGACGUGGCCCUUUGCCCUCCCUUGCUGUCAAGGCACUCCCUGUCAGGCCCCGCCCCGGGUAGGCUGACCAUGCCCCUGCCUCCACUCCUGGAUCCUGGAACCCUCCAGCCAGACCCAGAGUUUCCUCACCCGUUCCUUGCCCAGUCAUGCAUGCCCCUCACCUCAAGGGGGCGCUCUACUCACAUCAGUAGAUAAGAAAGGAGUGACAGCCGGAUGACGCCAACGCUAAGAGACAGGUGCCCCAGUCCCCCAUGGUGAAGAGUUGGCAUCUUGGAAGCUUGAGUGGCAUCACCACACAUACAACCAUAACCUUAGCUCAGCAGAAAACAGAAGGGCAAAAGCUUAACCGUUCCUGGCAAAUGCCUCCUAACAUCUUGAACGGUCUGUCCUCCCUAGCAAUAUCCUCUAGUAUUCCCACAAUAGUGCUCAUUAUUCCUCCAAUAUUCCCAACAUUCUGAUCCUGGAGUGUGGGUGGAGGUGCUGUGCUCUGAGGGGGGGGGCAGGGGUAGUCUCAGAAUCUCAGUAUCCCACACCCCCCUCGAUGUGACCGUUGAGAGCACAAGUGACCUCAAACGUGUAAAAGGGCCUCCCCAUUGAGAGGCCUUUGCAGCAAGGUUCCAUCUUGGGGAUUAGACCCUUAACCCCACUCUAAAUAGGACAUACUUCCUCCAAGACCCCCCAGGAAGCUCCCUGCAGACAUGACUCCUGAUUGUCCGGGUCCCACUCAGCCAGGUGCACCUCUAACAGCCAGACUCCAGUUUCUUUGGUUGAACCCAGGUGAAGAGGUGGAACUGAGCUGUACCCCCAAAAACCCCUUUUGUGGAGGAGAUUCAUUCAGUGUGUUUCUGGAGGCUGCUCUAUGUCAUGAUCCAGACAGGACCUCUGCUCUCGGAUCUCUGGGGCUAGCAGGGAUGAAGCACAGAUAUAAUCAGAAAAGGGUGUCAGGGAGUCCAGGGACAGUGGGAGCACAAAGGCCCCUCACAUCCAGUCACGGGGGUUCCACAGGAGCUUGUCCAGUAAUGAAUCCCGCAGGCCAGCAGGAGUCAGCCAGAAAGGUGUAACACUCAUGCCAGGCAUUUCUUUUAUUUAACUUUUUACUUUGAAACAAUUUCAAACUGCUCUUCAAUGUCAAAAAAAAAAAAAAAAUAUAUAUAUAUAUAUAUAUAUAUAUCUCCUUUUAGGGUUAAAAAAACUAAUAUGGUAUCAAACAUUGCACCCAGUUGUCACAUCUCUCUGGUCUCCCUCAAUCUAGAACAAUUUGCAGCCUUUCUUUGAAUUUUGACCUUGACAUGUUUGAAGAUUACAGGGAACUUAUUUUGUAGACUGUCCUUCAAUUUGGGUUUGUCCAUUUCUUUCUCACAAUUAGACCACUGUUAUACAUUUUGAGCAGAAAUAUCACAAAAACGAUGCUGUGCUUUUUUUUUGGCCACGCCGCACAGUUUGCGGGAUCUUAGUUCCCCGACCAGGGAUUGAACCCAGGCCACGGCAGUGAAAGCGCUGAGUCCUAAUCACAGGACCACCAGGGAACUCCUGAUGCUGUGUUCUUGUAUUCAGUAUCAUUUGGAACCAUGACUGGUGCUGGUAAUGUUGAUCACUUGAUCAUAAUUAGUAGGUAUUGGGGAAGGGAGGUACUUUAAGACUAUGAAACAUCCUUUUCUUCAUCCCGCUUUCACCCAUAGGUUUCAGCAUCCACUGAUGUUUCUUGCCUGAAUUAAUUAUUAAUACAAUGGUUUGCAAAUGGUGAUUUUCCAAUUUUAUCAUUUCUUCUACAUUUAUUAGUUGGCCUUCUACUAUAAAAAACUUUUUCUUCACCCCCAUUUAUUUAUUCAUUUACUUAUUUAUCAGAUGAACUUGUGAUUUCCUAUUUUAUUCAGUAGGUUAUAAUCCAUUCCUAUCAUUUAUUUUGAUGCUUAAAUUGUCCCAGGAUUGGUCAACGGGUGCCCCUUGCUGACCUCUUGUCAUUUUGAUGUGUCGCAUCAUUCUUUGGACACGUCCAUUCUUUCUGGCUCAAUAAGAUAUUCCAGGUUCAUCUUGUUUUUCCCUGCCCCAGCCCUGGAAUUAGCCAUUUCAGCAAGAAUACCUGUUUCUUUUUGGUGGAGAAUAAUAUUUAGAAACCAAGAUCUGGGUGUUAGUCGUGCUCAAUGCAAUUAGGGUAACCUCUACUGCCAGGCCCACUCAGUAGAUACAUGUUUAUAUACACACAUAAACAGACACAUUUAUACCUAUGUUUAUUUCUUUAUCUGUGUGAUGGUUAAUUUUAUAUGUCAACCUUACUGAGCCACUGAAUGCCCAGAUACCUCGAUAAACAUUACCUCUGGGCGUGUCUGUGAGGGUGUUUCCAAAAGAGGUUAGCGUUUGACUUGGUGGCCUGAGUAAAGCAGGUGGCCCUCCCCGAUGUGGGCGGGCAUCAUCCAAUUCAUUGAGGGCCUGAAUAAAACAAAAAGGCAGAGCAAGGUUGAAUUCUGUCUUCCGGACUGUUGAGCUGGAAUUGGUCUUCUCCUGCCCUUGAACUGGUACUUGCACCAUUAGAGCUCCCUGGUUCUCAGGCCUUCUGUCUGAGUCUGGAAUUCCACCACCCUACUUUCCAAGUCUCCAGCUUGCAGACAGCAGAUUGUGAGACUUCCCAGCCUCCAUAAUUGCAUGAGUCAAUCCCUCAUAAUAAGUCUCUUUCUCUAUAUUUAUCCUAUUGGUUCUGGUUCUCCGAAAACCCGAACUAAUACAAUUUCCAUAUAUUGAAAAAUAGUUUCCAUUCAGACCUUAAAUUCCAAUGGCACAGGGUUCAUCCUAGCUUUCCCCCUUUCCAGAUUUUUACUUCCUUUUCCCCAAUUGUCUUCAAUAUAUUUUAUAAUUUGUUCAAUCUCCCUGUAGGUAGCUAAUCCUCUGAGACAACAGGCUGCCCCCGACUUAGAUGCCCUCCUUACAUGGGGUUGGGUCCGGCAGGGCUGCCUUCCCAUCCCACUCCAGUGCCAUCAGCAUGCAUGGUCCUGGCUGCCAUUGGGCUAUCGAACAUUUCUAAGACUUUUGUAUUCAUUCAUUCUACAGAUAUUUAUUGAGCACCUACUAUGCUUCAGGCAUGUUUCCAAGUGACGGACAUAAAACAGGAAGAUAGACAAAGUUCCCUGACCACCGGAGCUCACAUUCUAGGGAAGGGAGAUAGACAAUAAACAAUAAACAAAUAAAUGAGUAUACCAGAUGGUAAGAAGUGCUGUGAAGAAAAAGCAGGGCAAGAGAAUGUAUAAAAGACUAGGAGAUUGCUAUUUUAUAUAAUUCUGUACUACCCUAGGGAGAUCACAAAUAUUAACCUACCACUGAGAUGAAAAAUAACCAUCCUCAUGACUUGGAAUAAUUUUUCCAGCAACAGCAUCAUUCAUGGAUUCAAAAAGCUCUGGGUUCCCCUGAUGGUUCAGUGGUUAAGAUUCCGCGCUUCCACUGCAGGGGGCACGGGUUCAAUCCCUGGUCGGGGAAGUUCCACAAGCCAUGCAGUGCAGCCAAAAAAAAAAAAAAAAAAGUUCUGUAUUUCCAAGCACAAGUGCAGAUGACACAUUCAAGAAAACUGUAUUAGGGAACUCAAAGGAGAUGCUAGGGAUGACACAUCACAUGACAAUGAGAAGCAGAAAUGCAAGUGAAGGGUUUGAAUAAACCUUCACAAACCGUGAGCGUGGAAAAGAAUU